GAGUAUAGAGCGGUAAUAAAAAAAAGAGUUGACACAAGAAAAGCAAAGAUUAUGUUAUGAACUUCAUUAACUUACAGCUGAAGUGCUAUAUGAUGCAGGAGCU
This is a long non-coding RNA of Octopus sinensis (East Asian common octopus), 103 nucleotides long. RefSeq lists it as uncharacterized. The transcript is spliced from 3 exons. NCBI's taxonomy places the organism in Eukaryota, Metazoa, Mollusca, Cephalopoda, Octopoda, Octopodidae. The record is from RefSeq and is a predicted model, not a curated record.